Molecule: unclassified non-coding RNA, 429 nt
Filed under: Hevea brasiliensis (rubber tree)
Lineage: Eukaryota; Viridiplantae; Streptophyta; Magnoliopsida; Malpighiales; Euphorbiaceae
Source: RNAcentral
AAAGGAAAUAACUCUUAAUUAAAAUAAGAAUUAAUAUCUAAUAAUAAUUGAAAGUAAAUCCUGAAAAUUCAAUUAGUUUUGCCGAGGGGUCCCACAAUGCGUUCAUAACAUCACUCUCCCCUGAAGAAAGAGCAUGUCCUCAAGCUCAAUAGUAGGAUAAGACUAUGAAUCACCCAUAGUCCUUUUGAUUCGUAGCUUCCUUUGAAUCAUUCAUCUCUAGCCAAAACAACUUCUUACAUUGAUACCUGGAGAAAUAUGGUUCCUUACAAUUAUAGCAAAACCCCUUUGCUCUUCACUAAGUCAUCUAUGGACGGCUCUAUCUUUUAAUAAAGGGAGACGAGACACUUUCUAAACUGAAACUUUGUAAUUUGCUAAUGGCCUGGUUGGCAGUAGCCUUGGUUACAAGCAGAAUGGAUGAAGUAGGUAUUA